This 252-nucleotide ribosomal RNA is filed under the name uncultured bacterium. Its description in RNAcentral is "partial 16S ribosomal RNA". It matches the Rfam family "Bacterial small subunit ribosomal RNA", at positions 524 to 776 of the family's 1533-position model. The record is from RNAcentral.
UACGUAGGGGGCAAGCGUUGUCCGGAAUUAUUGGGCGUAAAGCGCGCGCAGGCGGCUAGUUAAGUCUGGUGUUUAAACUCGGGGCUCAACCCCGAGACGCAUCGGAAACUGGGUAGCUGGAGUGCAGAAGAGGAGAGUGGAAUUCCACGUGUAGCGGUGAAAUGCGUAGAUAUGUGGAGGAACACCAGUGGCGAAGGCGACUCUCUGGUCUGUAACUGACGCUGAGGCGCGAAAGCGUGGGGAGCAAACAGG